UACUCCGUAGCUCAUGCAGUGGUUAGAGCAUCCGACCGGUGUACGGAAGGUCAUGGGCUCAAAUCCCGUCGGGGACCGGCUCAA
Non-coding RNA from Desmophyllum pertusum, 84 nucleotides. The record is from the annotation of a GenBank genome assembly. Lineage: Eukaryota; Metazoa; Cnidaria; Anthozoa; Scleractinia; Caryophylliidae.